This 419-nucleotide ribosomal RNA is filed under the name Bacillus cereus. Its description in RNAcentral is "bacterial SSU rRNA". It matches the Rfam family "Bacterial small subunit ribosomal RNA", at positions 51 to 458 of the family's 1533-position model. The record is from RNAcentral. Lineage: Bacteria; Bacillati; Bacillota; Bacilli; Caryophanales; Bacillaceae.
AUACAUGCAAGUCGAGCGAAUGGAUUAAGAGCUUGCUCUUAUGAAGUUAGCGGCGGACGGGUGAGUAACACGUGGGUAACCUGCCCAUAAGACUGGGAUAACUCCGGGAAACCGGGGCUAAUACCGGAUAACAUUUUGAACCGCAUGGUUCGAAAUUGAAAGGCGGCUUCGGCUGUCACUUAUGGAUGGACCCGCGUCGCAUUAGCUAGUUGGUGAGGUAACGGCUCACCAAGGCAACGAUGCGUAGCCGACCUGAGAGGGUGAUCGGCCACACUGGGACUGAGACACGGCCCAGACUCCUACGGGAGGCAGCAGUAGGGAAUCUUCCGCAAUGGACGAAAGUCUGACGGAGCAACGCCGCGUGAGUGAUGAAGGCUUUCGGGUCGUAAAACUCUGUUGUUAGGGAAGAACAAGUGCUA